GAUGAACGCUGGCGGCGUGCCUAAUACAUGCAAGUCGAGCGAACAGAUGAUGAGCUUUCUCCUCUGACGUUAGCGGCGGACGGGUGAGUAACACGUGCAUCACCUACUUCUAAUACUUGGAUAACUUCGUGAAACCGGAUCCAAUACCGGCUAAUAUAUUCAACCGCAUGGUUCAAUAGUUCUAGACGGUUUUGCUGUCACUUAUAGAUGGAUCCGCGCCGCAUUAGUUAGUUGGUAAGGUAACGGCUUACCAAGGCAACGAUGCUUAGCCGACCUGAUAGGGUGAUCGGCCACAAUGGAACUGAGAAACGGUCCAGAAACCUAAGGGGAGCAACAGUAGGGAAUCAUUGGCAAUGGGCGGAAGCCUGAAGGAACCAAGCCGCGGGAGGGAUAGAGGGCUUCGGAUCGUAAAACACUGUUAUUAGGGAAGAAAAAAUAUGAAAGUAACAAUGCACGGAUUGACGGUAACAAAUAAGAUAGCCACGGCUAAAUACGUG
RNAcentral lists this ribosomal RNA (497 nucleotides) under uncultured bacterium. RNAcentral describes it as "partial 16S ribosomal RNA". It matches the Rfam family "Bacterial small subunit ribosomal RNA", at positions 28 to 507 of the family's 1533-position model. The record is from RNAcentral.